UAGUUAGCGAUGAUAAAGAAUAGUACAUGUUAGAAUGUUUUUAGAGAGCUUGCGGGUGGUGAAAGCAAGUAACAAACUUUCAUGGAAUGGGCUUUGGAGCUCCUGUCUGAACAUUAACUACAGUAGGAACAGGCGUGCUUGUCCGCACGAUACUUUGGACACCGUAUGAAGUACGGGUAAAGCGAUUCUAUGUACAAGUAGAAUAAUAAGGGUGGCACCGCGGUCCAUUCGUCCCUUCU
RNAcentral lists this non-coding RNA (239 nucleotides) under Fictibacillus macauensis. RNAcentral describes it as "T-box sequence". It matches the Rfam family "T-box leader". From Rfam's summary of the family: Uncharged tRNA acts as the effector for transcription antitermination of genes in the T-box leader family. T-boxes are found upstream of many aminoacyl-tRNA synthetase genes and some amino acid biosynthetic genes usually in Gram-positive bacteria. Lineage: Bacteria; Bacillati; Bacillota; Bacilli; Caryophanales; Fictibacillaceae. The record is from RNAcentral.